GUUGCGGACAGUGUCUGGUGGGUAGUUUGACUGGGGCGGUCUCCUCCUAAAGAGUAACGGAGGAGCACGAAGGUUGGCUAAUCCUGGUCGGACAUCAGGAGGUUAGUGCAAUGGCAUAAGCCAGCUUGACUGCGAGCGUGACGGCGCGAGCAGGUGCGAAAGCAGGUCAUAGUGAUCCGGUGGUUCUGAAUGGAAGGGCCAUCGCUCAACGGAUAAAAGGUACUCCGGGGAUAACAGGCUGAUACCGCCCAAGAGUUCAUAUCGACGGCGGUGUUUGGCACCUCGAUGUCGGCUCAUCACAUCCUGGGGCUGAAGUAGGUCCCAAGGGUAUGGCUGUUCGCCAUUUAAAGUGGUACGCGAGCUGGGUUUAGAACGUCGUGAGACAGUUCGGUCCCUAUCUGCCGUGGGCGCUGGAGAACUGAGGGGGGCUGCUCCUAGUACGAGAGGACCGGAGUGGACGCAUCACUGGUGUUCGGGUUGUCAUGCCAAUGGCACUGCCCGGUAGCUAAAUGCGGAAGAGAUAAGUGCUGAAAGCAUCUAAGCACGAAACUUGCCCCGAGAUGAGUUCUCCCUGAGACUUAGAGUCUCCUGAAGGAACGUUGAAGACGACGACGUUGAUAGGCCGGGUGUGUAAGCGCAGCGAUGCGUUGAGCUAACCGGUACUAAUGAACCGUGAGGCUUAACCUUACAACGCCGAA
RNAcentral lists this ribosomal RNA (698 nucleotides) under Salmonella enterica subsp. enterica serovar Paratyphi B var. L(+) tartrate +. RNAcentral describes it as "partial 23S ribosomal RNA". It matches the Rfam family "Bacterial large subunit ribosomal RNA", at positions 2244 to 2925 of the family's 2925-position model. Lineage: Bacteria; Pseudomonadati; Pseudomonadota; Gammaproteobacteria; Enterobacterales; Enterobacteriaceae. The record is from RNAcentral.